GGCGGGGUGGUUUAGCGGACUAUAAUCGGUCGUUCGGGACGGCCGGACCCGGGUUCGAAUCCCGGCCCUGCCA
Molecule: transfer RNA, 73 nt
Filed under: Candidatus Nanohaloarchaea archaeon
Lineage: Archaea; Methanobacteriati; Methanobacteriota; Candidatus Nanohaloarchaea
Description: tRNA-Pro
Rfam family: tRNA
About the family: Transfer RNA (tRNA) molecules are approximately 80 nucleotides in length. Their secondary structure includes four short double-helical elements and three loops (D, anti-codon, and T loops).
Source: RNAcentral